CUCAUGGGACUCUCAACGAAGACAGAAACAAAUCCCUUGUAAAAUUUCCAAACAAGCCAUUUAUUGAGUCCAAACAAACCAUGAGCGUUGUAGCAUUACUAUUCAUCUACAGUGAUGUGAACUGUAAAUGAUCCCUUCACUUACUUAACUUGACUCCUUUUAGACCUAAAAUUAGGGAUUUAAAGAUCAUAUACUACAACCUUGAUUGGCUGUCAUUGGCCUCUGAACAAUUUUUUCAAAAACCCUAAUGAUUCCAAUCCAAGGCCUGCAAUUAAGGGACUUUAAAUCAGCAUUAUUUCAGGUUAUUGAAUGUGUUGCAAUAUACUCCCCAUCAUUCCCUUCCACUAGGUGGAUUUGGUCCCUGAGGUCUUCUUGACGACUUCUAUCCUAAUACUCUACCAUUGGAUAUUCAAUAUUUAUUGUUUAAGACCAACGCCAGACUCCCUCAUGAUUAAAAAAUUUGAUAGCUGAUGCAUUACCUCUCCUUCUAUAGUCAUGCACCAUUUGAUU
Molecule: long non-coding RNA, 510 nt
Filed under: Phoenix dactylifera (date palm)
Lineage: Eukaryota; Viridiplantae; Streptophyta; Magnoliopsida; Arecales; Arecaceae
Description: long non-coding RNA (PDAC_LNC022871)
Source: RNAcentral